Molecule: ribosomal RNA, 400 nt
Filed under: phytoplankton environmental sample
Lineage: Eukaryota
Description: partial small subunit ribosomal RNA
Rfam family: Eukaryotic small subunit ribosomal RNA
Source: RNAcentral
AGCUCCAAUAGCGUAUAUUAAUGUUGUUGUGGUUAAAAAGCUCGUAGUUGGAUUUCAGCGAGUAUUGGCCGGUCCGGAUUGCUCCGACACUGGUUAGAUUACUCGUGUAUUUUGCCAGAAUUUGCUGGGUGAUCUUAAUCGAUUGUCCCGUAGAGCUGGCAGGUUUACUUUGAAAAAAUUAGAGUGCUCAAAGCAAGCUUAUAUGCUUGAAUAUUCGUGCAUGGAAUAAUAGAAUAGGAAGUCGUUUCUAUUUUGUUGGUUUUCGGAAAUCGACUUAAUGAUUAAUAGGGACGGUCGGGGGCAUUUGUAUUCAAACGACAGAGGUGAAAUUCUUGGACCGUUUGAAGACAAACUACUGCGAAAGCAUCUGCCAAGCAUGUUUUCAUUAAUCAAGAACGAA